Molecule: long non-coding RNA, 1034 nt
Organism: Astatotilapia calliptera (eastern happy)
Lineage: Eukaryota; Metazoa; Chordata; Actinopteri; Cichliformes; Cichlidae
Source: Ensembl
GCUUUUUCCAUUUGAGGCAGAUUACUGUAACGCUAUUGUACAACAACUUCCUGCCUCUUUUGGCUCUGGUUCUAAAAAACUGCAAAAGGCAGACCUCGUGGCUUUAACUUUUUUCCCCCCUCGGCCUUGAACCAGGAGCUCUAUAAGGGAAGAAAAGGAGGAAGGAGAUAUGUAAAGUGUAUUUAUUACUGAGGAGCUUUUUUUUUUUUCUCUCUUUUUUAAAAAUAAAUUUCAUUUCUGCUUUAUAAACUGCUGAGAAUUAAAGAGGGGACUUCAUUCCUAGCAAGAGACAAUGAGAAAGAGAGAAAGAGGGAGACAGAGAGGAAAAACACAAGGAUUCUGAAAGGAGAGGAGGAAGAGAGAAACAGAGAGAAAAGAGCAAAGGAGAGCUUCUCCUGGGAACAAGCUGGAAAUUAUGGACCUAUUCGAUAUCAGACCUCAGAGUGGACAACCUAUCCUAAGAGGGACGCGCCCUAACUGUAACUAACAACUACUUCUGGCAGCCCUUCAACAACCAGACAUAUUGUCCUGGAUCAGGGCCGUUUUCGAAAAGGCAGCAAUGAGCAAGGGCAGCCUAGGCAAGAAAUCAACAUCGACCUUCAGCCUCAUUAAUAUCAAUUAAUACUUUUUUUCUCUAAUAAAAAUACAGAAUUUUAAACUAUGAUCCCAAUGAGACGUUAAUUAUCAAAUGUAGCAUGUUAAGGUGAUACAUGCUAUAAAAAAGAAGGAUUUCCACACUAAAGUGGGGCAGCAUUAAGGGGUCAACACAGCACUUUAAAAAAAAUUUUUUUUUUUAAAUAUAUAAUGCGUGAGUUAAUUAUUUCACCUACUGUUUUAGUACUGAUAUAUUAAAAGCUCAAAAUCCAACACAAAUGCAAUGUUGCGUUACUUUGUACUGUGUAGGUCUGAAGAUCUGCAUUUAAAGUGUGAAUGCAACAAAACUGCCUUAUGGUGGAAACGAGCACAAGCAGGGUUUGAAUGAGUGUAACAAUGUAAUAAAUAUUCAAUUAAAAAAUAUUUUUGACUGAGUAUAA